UGGGGAAUCUUAGACAAUGGGGGAAACCGAGAUCUAGCCAUGCCGCGUGAGCGAUGAAGGCCUUAGGGUUGUAAAGCUCUUUCUAGUGGGAGGCGGUACCACCAGAAGAAGCCCCGGCUAACUCCGUGCCAGCAGCCGCGGUAAUACGGAGGGGGCGAGCGUUGUUCGGAAUUACUGGGCGUAAAGCGCACGUAGGCGGACUGGAAAGUCAGGGGGGAAAUCCCGGGGCGCAACCCCGGAACUGCCUUUGAAACUCCCGGUCUUGAGGUCGUGAGAGGUGAGUGGAAUUCCGAGUGUAGAGGUGAAAUUCGUAGAUAUUCGGAGGAACACCAGUGGCGAAGGCGGCUCACUGGCACGAUACUGACGCUGAGGUGCGAAAGCGUGGGGAGCAAACAGGAUUAGAUACCCCAGUAGU
Molecule: ribosomal RNA, 415 nt
Filed under: uncultured bacterium
Lineage: Bacteria
Description: bacterial SSU rRNA
Rfam family: Bacterial small subunit ribosomal RNA
Source: RNAcentral